AAGAAUUUAGUUAAGUUAUAACAUUAGUUUGUCGAACUGAAAUUAUUUUUCAAAAAUAAUUCUUA
RNAcentral lists this transfer RNA (65 nucleotides) under Staphylinoidea sp. 2 KM-2017. RNAcentral describes it as "tRNA-Asp". It matches the Rfam family "tRNA". From Rfam's summary of the family: Transfer RNA (tRNA) molecules are approximately 80 nucleotides in length. Their secondary structure includes four short double-helical elements and three loops (D, anti-codon, and T loops). The record is from RNAcentral. Lineage: Eukaryota; Metazoa; Arthropoda; Insecta; Coleoptera.